Molecule: long non-coding RNA, 292 nt
Filed under: Pogona vitticeps (central bearded dragon)
Lineage: Eukaryota; Metazoa; Chordata; Lepidosauria; Squamata; Agamidae
Description: lncRNA (ENSPVIG00000008937.1)
Source: RNAcentral
UUUAGGGAUUGUUUUGUUCUACAGGAGAAGGACACUGAAAAUUUGCAUUUGAGAAUCUUCAUGCUCUCUGAGAAGUUACUUCCAGACUGCUCAACUUUUAUCAAACGCCUGUGGUUAUAAAAAGAGCAGGGAACAGCAUUCAUAUCUGAAUUUCUCAGCUGUAGGCUCAGCUGACAUUGAAGUCAAUGUUGUGCCUGAAGUACUAAGCUGCCUUCUUGUCUCCCACAAUGGCUUGAUAUGUCCCCUUUAAUGUAUGUUAGAAUUAACACUAGCAUUAUUUAAGGGAGGUUGU